UGCGCAGCGCGUGUUUGACCACGAUGUUCGGAAAGCUCACGCCUUUCAGACGCGCGGUGCGGAUGUAUUGCGCGGUCAUGACUUCGGCCAUCGAGGCGCGGGUCAUGCGCGCGAUAUAGCCCAUGCCGUAAAGUGAAAUGGUCAAAACGGGCAGGAAGAAGUUAUUGAAGGUUGCUUU
Molecule: non-coding RNA, 178 nt
Filed under: Planktotalea frisia
Lineage: Bacteria; Pseudomonadati; Pseudomonadota; Alphaproteobacteria; Rhodobacterales; Paracoccaceae
Description: Rhodobacteraceae bacterium SH6-1 Ruegeria cis52 sRNA
Rfam family: Ruegeria cis52 sRNA
About the family: Cis-encoded. Targets oligo/dipeptide ABC transporter.
Source: Rfam by way of RNAcentral